CCUACGGGCGGCUGCAGUGGGGAAUUUUGGACAAUGGGGGCAACCCUGAUCCAGCAAUGCCGCGUGAGUGAAGAAGGCCUUCGGGUUGUAAAGCUCUUUUGUCAGGGAAGAAAAGGCUGUGGCUAAUAUCCAUAGCUGCUGACGGUACCUGAAGAAUAAGCACCGGCUAUCUACGUGCCAGCAGCCGCAGUAAUACGUAGGGUGCAAGCGUUAAUCGGAAUUACUGGGCGUAAAGCGUGCGCAGGCGGUUUCGUAAGUCUGUCGUGAAAUCCCCGGGCAUAACCUGGGAAUGGCGAUGGAGACUGCGAGGCUAGAGGUUGGCAGAGGGGGGUAGAAUUCCACGUGUAGCAGUGAAAUGCGUAGAGAUGGGGAGGAACACCGAUGGCGAAGGCAGCUCCCUGGGUCAAAACUGACGCUCAUGCACGAAAGCGUGGGGAGCAAACAGGAUUAGAUACCCGUGUAGUC
RNAcentral lists this ribosomal RNA (465 nucleotides) under uncultured Duganella sp. RNAcentral describes it as "bacterial SSU rRNA". It matches the Rfam family "Bacterial small subunit ribosomal RNA", at positions 338 to 795 of the family's 1533-position model. Lineage: Bacteria; Pseudomonadati; Pseudomonadota; Betaproteobacteria; Burkholderiales; Oxalobacteraceae. The record is from RNAcentral.